Molecule: small RNA, 538 nt
Filed under: Pan troglodytes (chimpanzee)
Lineage: Eukaryota; Metazoa; Chordata; Mammalia; Primates; Hominidae
Description: retained intron
Source: RNAcentral
CGAAAGCACUCAGUGCUGGAAGUAGGAGGAGAGUCAGGACUCCCAGGACAGAGAGUGCACAAACUCUGGAGGCUGAAGAGGGAUUCCAGCCCCUGCCACCCACAGACACGGGCUGACUGGGGUGUCUGCCCCCCUUGGGGGGGGGCAGCACAGGGCCUCAGGCCUGGGUGCCACCUGGCACCUAGAAGAUGCCUGUGCCCUGGUUCUUGCUGUCCUUGGCACUGGGCCGAAGCCCAGUGGUCCUUUCUCUGGAGAGGCUUGUGGGGUCUCAGGACGCUACCCACUGCUCUCCGGGCCUCUCCUGCCACCUCUGGGGUAAGUAUCCCUACUUUUAAAAAGAAUUUCCCAGGUUGGCUGAAGGGAGCAGAGCUGUCCCAGGCCCAUGCCCUCCAUGCCCACCUCAGCCUAGGACAGCCAAGUUCUUUGGCUCUCUGGGUAUGUCAGGUGCCACCAAAUUCUGGGCUUGGAACAGCUUCAGCUCCCACCCGCUCCUCCACACACAGACAGUGACAUACUCUGCCUGCCUGGGGACAUCGUG